AAGUCGUAACAAGGUUUCCGUAGGUGAACCUGCGGAAGGAUCAUUAGUGAAUUUUAGGGCGUCUUGUUUACAAGAGCCUGACCUCCACUCUCCAACGCUGUGCAUCAUUUUGGCGGCGUUUAGUUCAAUCUAAACCUGCCUUUCCCUUUUAAACACAAGUCAAAGAAUGUAACAAAACCAUAAACAAAAAAAAG
Molecule: unclassified non-coding RNA, 194 nt
Filed under: plant metagenome
Description: partial contains small subunit ribosomal RNA and internal transcribed spacer 1
Rfam family: Eukaryotic small subunit ribosomal RNA (bases 1-46)
Source: RNAcentral